AGGCAAUAUUAAUGGAAAAAUUAACUCUUUGCCAGGCCUUGAAUCAUUCUUAACAUUGUCUUUUACUUUUUUUCUUCAGCAAAAAACCUUCCAAACCUCAUUUAUUUAAUUAGAAAAUCAAGUAAUUAUAGUACAGUAAAAUGCACAAGCAUAGUUUGCUUGUGUUUUCAAGGCCAAGGCUUUGCACAGAGCUGUCUAAGUAUUGAUAAGAGGGCUGUGAACGUUCAGGUGGCUUUUUCAUUCAAAUUUUAUAGCUUCUGAUUAUGAGAUUUAAUGAACUAUUGACCUUUGUUCCAUAUUAUACAGCUUUUGCGUAUGAGAUUUACUGACCUUUGGUGGGUAUUACCCAUUGCAAAAAAUUCUGGAGCUUCUUUUCAGGUUCUGAUGUCAAUUUCUUCCAUCGAGCUGAUAAAUACAAAACCCCAUUCCUGUAAACUUAAAAGCACAGGCGUUGGAUGUACAGAAAUAAAGAAAAUUCAGAGAUCUUUUAGUCUAUGGAUUAGCAAGCAAGGCAGUCAGAGUAGGGCUGUAAGACCAGAAUUACUAAAUAGAAAUAUAAUGGUGCAUUUUUGCUAAUAAAAUCAUGUUUAGACUUCAUGAUUUCAAGUAGAUAUGUCCAUAAUAUAACUGUCAGUGCUAUUCAGAGGUCUUGAAAUAGGUUUAAGCAUCUCUGUCCUAUCCUAUAGUCUGCAGUAUAGACAGAGGCUGAGAAAGACAAUUUUCACUGCUGUGUUAUUUGAUUUCAGUCUGACACCUUUGCACACUACAUAGUUAAUCCACUUUGCUUUCCACAAUUUUGCCCAUAAACUAGAGAUCACAGUAUCACAAGAGCAACAGAAAAGGUUUUCUCAAUGGUACCUCCAAGAACAGUGAGCUGAAUUCAUAAAUAAUUGAACUGUGACAGCAGAGCUAAACUCAGCCCUGUUUUAAUGCUGAUGCCACAGCAACAGCUUACUAGUAAAGACAAUAUGCCCACAUCAUCCUGGCAACGCCAGGAUUUCUUUAGGCCUCCAGAUCAAUAUGACAUUAUUUAUCAAUAUGACUGAAUUUCUUUUUAAAUUUGCCAAAACAGAAAAAUGAGGCUAUGAUAGGUACACAAAAUAGGCCACUUAGGUACAGAUUCCUCAGUACAUCCUUAAUCUUAUGGAGUGACCUGCUGUAAAUGUACCUACAUGUGUAAGAUUUUGUCGAAGUGUCUAGAGAAUUUGUGACCCAUUAACCACUCUGUGCUCAUAUUAAUUUCUCUUUCCUAGGUUAGAAGGCUGCAUCCUUUACUGAGAGGUACCUUGUUGUUAUUCAGCUUUACAAUCACAAUACUUAAGUACCUGAAGCAUAUGUAAAAGUUGAACUUUAAUAAAAGCUUCUUUGUUAAUGUCUUUAUGCACUUCCCCAGAGAACAGUGGUCCUGCAAAACUAAGGUGCCAUGAGAAAUGAACACUUCCGUGCAUAAGGAAGCAUGUGCAUUUGGAGGAUGGUGGCUUGCAUUAUCCAGGAAAAUAACAACCCCCACAGGAUCAGCUCUGACAAUG
This is a long non-coding RNA of Pezoporus occidentalis (night parrot), 1529 nucleotides long. RefSeq lists it as uncharacterized. Lineage: Eukaryota; Metazoa; Chordata; Aves; Psittaciformes; Psittacidae. The record is from RefSeq and is a predicted model, not a curated record. The transcript is spliced from 3 exons.